Molecule: long non-coding RNA, 1426 nt
Organism: Physeter macrocephalus (sperm whale)
Lineage: Eukaryota; Metazoa; Chordata; Mammalia; Artiodactyla; Physeteridae
Exons: 4
Source: RefSeq, a predicted model, not a curated record
CUAGGCCGUUUACUCCGUUAAUAAACCAGGCCUCAGAGGGAACUAAAACGUCCACUUCCCCGUGCCAAUCAGGCGCCGCGCGUAAGGGGCAGGACAAGCUCUCCGGGUUUCGAUUCUCGAAAUCUCGGGCGCCGCGGGGAACUCCGGGCGAGCCCACGGAACGCGGGGGCGGGGCCGAGCGUGAGUCCGUCUCCCGCGCACGGGCGGCUCGGGGCGGCCGGGGGCGCGGCGCGCGUCCCCGACCGGACGCUCCGGCGCGUUAGGCGGCCCGGCGGGCGCGCGGCCGGUGGCCAAGAGCGAGACGGGCCCGGAGCGCGGCGCAGGAAACGCGCGGCCGCCGGGUCGCGCGAAGGGCCGCUGCGCGGGGCCGGACGCUCGGCGGCGCGCUCUCUCGCCGACAAGUGAGGAGGCGAAGCGAGGUCGUCGUCGGUCGCUCAGGGCUUGUUGAGAAAGUCACCAGUCACAGGUGUGUACAUGUGACACCGGCACCUUGAACUCUCUGGAGCAGUGGAAACUCCUGCAGGCUCUGUCCACUGAAGAGGCCCAGAAGCAGUUACCCAGAGGUAAUGAACAUACUAGUGCCAAGACCUUGGUUUCAAAGUACUGUUCAUCACUGAAAGGAAGGAAUGUUCCCUGGAGAAAUGGCUGAUUCCAGAUCAGAAACAGAGAAUUGUACAAGAACCAACUUACAAUAAUGGUAUUACAGUUAGUCAACCACAUAAAAACCCACCACAGGAAGCGAAUUGAAAAGUAGCCACAACAAGUAAACCAAAGAAGAAAGCAAACUGAAACCAUUCUUGCAUAUGGACAAGAACUUUCCCUUUUUAAUCCUUUUUUCUCACGUAAUAAUUAGCACAAGGCUUUUUAUAUGACAGGGGCUUGUCAUAGUUUAAGGUCCAGCCAGGUAACUGCGGGUUACUAAGACUGACUCAGAAAUAGGGCGAUGUGGGGAUAAAGUUCCCUGAACAUGGAACAAGACAGAAAAGCACUUGAUAAUAAGGCUAGAAUUUCUAAUUGGGAAUAGAGCUCCCAGUGAUAGAUGCUACAUCCCAAGGUGUGGGCCGACAGUGGGGAUGGUAAAUACCUGAUGUCAUUCUGCCCCUCCUUUUUCAACACCCACUGCAGACAUCUUUUUUUUUUUUUUUUGGCCACGUCACGCGGCUUGUGGGAUCUUAGUUCCCCGACCAGGGAUUGAACCGGGGCCCUUGGCAGUGAAAGCAUGGAGUCCUAACCACUGGACUGCCAGGGAAUUUACCUAGACAUCAAUGUUUCAUCACCAUAUUUUUCCCUAUUGGGUUGGAAUGGGUUGGAACUUUGUCUCAACCAGUGCUCAAAGUCACCACCAACAAUCAAUUGAAAAUACAUUUCACAGGAAUAAGAACUACAGUUUUUAAAUUCUUGUUUCAAAUGAAGGCUAGAAUUGCAA